UCUUAUAUGGUCUAGCGGUUAGGAUUUCUGGUUUUCACCCAGACGGCCCGGGUUCGACUCCAGGUAUGGGAA
This 72-nucleotide transfer RNA is filed under the name Nematostella vectensis (starlet sea anemone). It matches the Rfam family "tRNA". Rfam says of the family: Transfer RNA (tRNA) molecules are approximately 80 nucleotides in length. Their secondary structure includes four short double-helical elements and three loops (D, anti-codon, and T loops). Lineage: Eukaryota; Metazoa; Cnidaria; Anthozoa; Actiniaria; Edwardsiidae. The record is from Rfam by way of RNAcentral.